RNAcentral lists this ribosomal RNA (480 nucleotides) under uncultured bacterium. RNAcentral describes it as "partial 16S ribosomal RNA". It matches the Rfam family "Bacterial small subunit ribosomal RNA", at positions 28 to 523 of the family's 1533-position model. The record is from RNAcentral.
GACGAACGCUGGCGGCGUGCUUAACACAUGCAAGUCGAACGGUAAGGCCCUUUCGGGGGUACACGAGUGGCGAACGGGUGAGUAACACGUGGGUAAUCUGCCCUGCACUUCGGGAUAAGCCUGGGAAACUGGGUCUAAUACCGGAUAUGAGCUCUGGCCGCAUGGUCUGGGGGUGGAAAGUUUUUCGGUGCAGGAUGAGCCCGCGGCCUAUCAGCGUGUUGGUGGGGUAAUGGCCUACCAAGGCGACGACGGGUAGCCGGCCUGAGAGGGUGAUCGGCCACACUGGGACUGAGACACGGCCCAGACUCCUACGGGAGGCAGCAGUGGGGAAUAUUGCACAAUGGGCGGAAGCCUGAUGCAGCGACGCCGCGUGGGGGAUGACGGUCUUCGGAUUGUAAACCCCUUUCAGUAGGGACGAAGCGCAAGUGACGGUACCUGCAGAAGAAGCACCGGCCAACUACGUGCCAGCAGCCGCCGCCG